Pseudophryne corroboree (corroboree frog) is the source of this 409-nucleotide long non-coding RNA. RefSeq lists it as uncharacterized. Lineage: Eukaryota; Metazoa; Chordata; Amphibia; Anura; Myobatrachidae. The transcript is spliced from 3 exons. The record is from RefSeq and is a predicted model, not a curated record.
GUUUUGCGGAGUAUCCUUCCCAAGUUGCAGUAACCAGCGUGGGUGUGAAGGGACACGACAGUUCCUCUGCUGUACCAUGGGCGACCUACUUGUGAGGUGGACCUGAACCUCCGCCAUGUAGCAGACACCCCCCUCAGGUCUUGCGGAGUAUCUUUCCCAAGUUGCAGUAACCAGCGUGGAUGUGAAGGGACACGACAGUUCCCCUGCUGUACCAUGGGCGACCUACUUGUGAUGUGGACCUGAACCUCCGCCAUGUAGCAGACACCCCCCUCAGGUCUUGCGGAGUAUCCUUCCCAAGUUGCAGUAACCAGCGUGGAUGUGAAGGGACACGACAGUUCCUCUGCUGUACCAUGGGCGACCUACUAUAAUACAAUUAUGGAUGGACGGACUGCCUGCCGACUGCCGACAC